This 467-nucleotide ribosomal RNA is filed under the name uncultured bacterium. Its description in RNAcentral is "partial 16S ribosomal RNA". It matches the Rfam family "Bacterial small subunit ribosomal RNA", at positions 29 to 507 of the family's 1533-position model. The record is from RNAcentral.
ACGAACGCUGGCGGCGUGCUUAACACAUGCAAGUCGAACGGAAAGGCCCUGCUUUUGUGGGGUGCUCGAGUGGCGAACGGGUGAGUAACACGUGAGUAACCUGCCCUUGACUUUGGGAUAACUUCAGGAAACUGGGGCUAAUACCGGAUAGGAGCUCCUGCUGCAUGGUGGGGGUUGGAAAGUUUCGGCGGUUGGGGAUGGACUCGCGGCUUAUCAGCUUGUUGGUGGGGUAGUGGCUUACCAAGGCUUUGACGGGUAGCCGGCCUGAGAGGGUGACCGGCCACAUUGGGACUGAGAUACGGCCCAGACUCCUACGGGAGGCAGCAGUGGGGAAUAUUGCACAAUGGGCGGAAGCCUGAUGCAGCAACGCCGCGUGCGGGAUGACGGCCUUCGGGUUGUAAACCGAUUUCGCCUGUGACGAAGCGUGAGUGACGGUAAUGGGUAAAGAAGCACCGGCUAACUACGUG